This 253-nucleotide ribosomal RNA is filed under the name uncultured bacterium. RNAcentral's name for it is "partial 16S ribosomal RNA". It matches the Rfam family "Bacterial small subunit ribosomal RNA", at positions 524 to 776 of the family's 1533-position model. The record is from RNAcentral.
UACGAAGGGGGCUAGCGUUGCUCGGAAUCACUGGGCGUAAAGCGCACGUAGGCGGAUUUCUAAGUCAGGGGUGAAAUCCUGGAGCUCAACUCCAGAACUGCCUUUGAUACUGGGAAUCUCGAGUCCGGGAGAGGUGAGUGGAACUCCUGGUGGAGCGGUGAAAUGCGUAGAUAUCAGGAGGAACACCGGUGGCGAAAGCGGCUCACUGGCCGGAAUCUGACACUGAGGUGCGAAAGCUAGGGUAGCAAACGGG